Molecule: ribosomal RNA, 504 nt
Filed under: uncultured bacterium
Lineage: Bacteria
Description: partial 16S ribosomal RNA
Rfam family: Bacterial small subunit ribosomal RNA
Source: RNAcentral
AUUGAACGCUGGCGGCAGGCCUAACACAUGCAAGUCGAACGGUAGCACAGAGAGCUUGCUCUUGGGUGACGAGUGGCGGACGGGUGAGUAAUGUCUGGGAAACUGCCCGAUGGAGGGGGAUAACUACUGGAAACGGUAGCUAAUACCGCAUAACGUCUUCGGACCAAAGUGGGGGACCUUCGGGCCUCACACCAUCGGAUGUGCCCAGAUGGGAUUAGCUAGUAGGUGGGGUAAUGGCUCACCUAGGCGACGAUCCCUAGCUGGUCUGAGAGGAUGACCAGCCACACUGGAACUGAGACACGGUCCAGACUCCUACGGGAGGCAGCAGUGGGAAAUAUUGCACAAUGGGCGCAAGCCUGAUGCAGCCAUGCCGCGUGUAUGAAGGAGGCCUUCGGGUUGUGAAGUACUUUCAGCGGGGAGGAAGGCGGUGGAGUUAAUAGCUUCAUCGAUUGACGUUACCCGCAGAAGAAGCACCGGCUAACUCCGUGCCAGCCGCCGCAGUAA